This 245-nucleotide ribosomal RNA is filed under the name uncultured bacterium. Its description in RNAcentral is "partial 16S ribosomal RNA". It matches the Rfam family "Bacterial small subunit ribosomal RNA", at positions 524 to 769 of the family's 1533-position model. The record is from RNAcentral.
UACGUAGGGGGCAAACGUUGUCCGGAAUCAUUGGGCGUAAAGCGCUUGUAGGCGGUCCCGCAAGUCGGAUGUUAAAUACCCCCGCUCAACGGGGGUCCGCGUUCGAUACUACGGGGCUAGAGAAAUGUAGAGGAAAGCGGAACUACCGGUGUAGCGGUGAAAUGCGUAGAUAUCGGUAGGAACACCAGUGGCGAAGGCGGCUUUCUGGACAUUUUCUGACGCUGAGAAGCGAAAGUUAAGGGAGC